GGGUGGUACAGCUCUUGACUAUUCAGACGAUGGUAUUGAAGGAUUUUCUAAGAGUAUCGUGAAGCCUUCUGUUGAAGGUUUAGCUAGCACUGCACUUGAAAUCAAGGAUGAUCGGAUUCAUCAAGAUGUUAAUUGUGGCAAUUCAAUUGAUUCGUUGAAGUCGGAUGCCAAAUUGAAAAUAGAUAAGCAAGAUGAUGUAUCUGGAGAAGCCUUGAACGUCC
This 221-nucleotide unclassified non-coding RNA is filed under the name Hevea brasiliensis (rubber tree). The record is from RNAcentral. Lineage: Eukaryota; Viridiplantae; Streptophyta; Magnoliopsida; Malpighiales; Euphorbiaceae.